ACCCACCCACCAGACCGAGAAGGGGCGUGGCCACGCUCUCACACACAUCUGCAGAGAGAGUGCUGCAGUGCGAGCGCAGCAGGGGGGGUCGGACUCCGAAAUUGAUCAGCAAAAACACACACAGACACACACAGAAAACACACUAACACACACACUCAUUGACAGACGUAGGAACGUGACGAACUGCGGUGUCGUGUCGCUACAGCCUCCUAUGUGGAGCUCCGCAGCGGUACCGCGGCGACGCAGGCCGACAUGGAAGAGUAUCUGCGGAGGGUCGACUGCAGGCGACGGGCCCUGGUGUCCGAGAAGUCCCUCCACGCCGUGUUAGGUGGACCAGAAGCAGAUGUUGACACUGUGGCCGCCACGCUGUGCUUGGCGCUGCACCUCAGCCAGAGGGAGCCCUCAGGUGGGGUGUGUGUGCCGCUGCUGUGCGGCCGGCGUGGCGAUGCUGCGUUGCCCGGGGAGACGACGAGCUAUCUGCGGAGGGUCAACGUGUGCGAGAGCCUCUUAUUGUGGCGGGAUGACGUGGACCUGCUCAGGAUUCAUCAGGCUGGAAAACUCUCGCUCACGCUGCUGAGGGACGGACUGCUGGACAGCGCCGAGCUGCGCAUUUUUGAGUCCAGCGUCCUUCGAGUGGUCCAUCCUGACGGCGGGGAUGACGGGCCGGCGUCGGCGGUGAUGACGGUCGCCAGAGAGCUUCUUCAAGAAGCACCGGAGCACGUCGGAGCGGCGCUGAGGGAGAGCCUCGGAGAAGCGUUGCGUCUCCAAAGUGACGCCUUCAGGCUCAAACACGGCCGCCAGUCCACACAACUGGAGGAGCUGAUGGGACGUUUUCAACCGUGGAGCGAUGUCCCUCCCAGUCAGAGCAUGAGGGCGGCGCUACCAGACGUGGAGCAUUUGCUGUCCAAGGAGCUCAGGGAGUUUUCAGAUGGAGAGAUGACCAUAGCGCUCACCUCGGUGGCUGUCGACGAGGAGCGCUGGCGUGAUUAUGAAGAGACGUUGAAGUCGUUCUGUAAUCGACACGGCUACGACGGAAUGCUGUUUCUCUUGUCUGUCAACGACUCGCUUCAUCCUCCUCGCCAACAGGUGGCAGUCUACUCCAGCAACACGGGCCUCCUCAACCAGAUCUGCUGCGAGUUGGAGACAACGUCUAGCUGGUUUCUCUCAGGUGAAUUAGAGGCCAGGGGGUGUUACCAGGUCUAUCACACCCCCCUAAACACCUCUACUUUGAGUACCUCUCUGCUGGAAGAGGAGGUGCGCUGUGUCCUCAAGGAGCUGGUGGAUCGGCGGAGCUCUGUGCUGGCCUGUCACCCGAGCAGCAGGACGUCCUCCACUGAGGGUGUGGCCGGCAGCGUGGAAUUCUCCCAAGGAUCGUCAGGCAUCAAUGACAUGGACGGCUCUGACACGGAGAGAGGUGAAGGAGGUAGUGGAGCUGUGGUAGCAAUAGAGAGCAGGGGGGUGGCAGAGGGUGAGGAGGACUCGGGAGGAGUCGGCGCAAGUGGGGAGCUUCUGAGCCCCGACAGUGGUAUGAACACCAUCCGCAGCAGCCGUUCCUCAAAGGAGAGUUCGGUGUUCCUCAGUGAUGACAGCCCAGUUGGCGAAAUUCUUGGCGCAGGUCCAGGGGGUCUCCUGCUGAGGAACCCCUCUCCUUUGGGCUUAUGCUCUCUCUCCCCUCCUGUGCCUCCUGAGAGAAGAAGGCAGCGCUCCAGCAAAAAGAGGAGUGACCAUUUUGACCAGUUUAGUUUUGAUCCACUUCAUCCACAUCCCAUCCUUCCAAAUCCUGGGGGGAAAUUAGAUGAUGACAGGCAAACCGCAGGAAGCUCAAGCCUGUCCGAAUACGAAGAACUAAACAUGCUGGAUUUCUCUGCGCACAGUUCUUUAGGCGGUCUUGAAAGUAGGCAGUCUUCAACUGAUCCUGAAGGUCAAAUCCAUGGCAUCGAGGUGAUUGACACCCUUGUUCCUCCGACUCCGGUCAACAGUCUGGUAGGGAGUCACCCAUCCAGCAGUUGCGGUGUCAGGUUUUUCCCUGAGGAUGUGGUGGAGAGGAUCAGUGGCUUUCAGCACAAAGACAGCGUCUCUUCGUCCUUGUCUGAAACCUGGGAGGAACUUGGCUUUGACCCAUCUUCGAAUGACACCUGGAAUAGAACCAGAGAGAGCCCACUGACCCUGGAGGAGGUAAGGUGCAAAGAUUCAGAAGGUGGCAUGACAGGAAGGCCAAGUAGGGAAGAGAGGUCACAGAGGGACUUGAGCCUUGAGCCACAACUUAGUCUGAUCACUGAGCAGACAGACUCAAGAGACAACUGGAGCCCAGAUACUGUACUGAGAGAUCAGUGGAACGCAGUGACUGUGGCUGAUCUGCAGCUGACCCCACCAGAGGAGGAAGUAGUUCGACGAGACAAAGCAGGUAUCUUUGGAGUAAAAGAAAUGACUUCACAGAAGAAGAAAACCAUCCUAAACACGUUAACACCUGACACCUCCAAGGAGGACGAUGAAGAGGCACAGGGGAAAAUAGGCAGCAGAUCUACACUGGACUUUUGGACCUACUCGGCACAGAAGGGCUUUCUCAAAUCUGACAGCGGAACCACAACAUCUUAUCCUGAAUCACUAGAUAUGUGGAAUAUGACAAUUCGGGAUGACAGUUUCUCGCCUCUCACCACCCCUGACAAUUUGUCUGCAGACUCUGGGUCUUUUUGCGGGGCAAGUACUAACGUGGGGGCUGGUGCUUCUGUACAAAGUCCACAGGGAUCAUCUUAUGGUAGCAUGGCAAUGUGGAACACUACCAUACAGGAGGACAGCUCUUCAUCAGCAAGCCCAGAAGGACCCGGAAAUGGCCACAGCAGUCACACUGGUUUAUUGGAUGGAUGUCAUACUCCUAAGUCACGGGGAGGAGAAGCGGCAGGAAAGGAUAGCAAGUGGAGCGGUCAAAACCAGAAUGUCCAAAUAGUCAUAGAGGGGGAAGAAGAUAGAAUAUCACAUAGUUGUGACCCUGUUUCGGUUCCUCACAUGGUCAUCUCCACCUCAGACUAUGAUAAUGUGAGAUCUUUGUCCUCCAUUGAAGUCCACACUAGUCAUGCUGUGGAUAUGAUCCACCUUGGAGAGCAGUCCAGCCCAUUUGUUGCUGUGACCAAACCUACUGAUGACAACACAAGACAGACCGAAUCUGAUCUGGGUGUUUCCGACAAAGUAUUUACUUUUGAAGGACAUAGUGAGUUGAGUAACGUAACCAAGAGCUGCAGUAAUUCAGAAAAAAAUUACUCCAUAGACCAACCAAGUCCUAGUUCUCCAUUUAUUCUAGUUGACAACUCUCUGGCUGAUGAUUCUUUAUCCCUAAGCCCAGGUGGUUUAAGUCUUGGACUGGCACCACAAUCGAACUGUCAACCAGGCAGUGUUACCCACAUCAACAACCAAAGUCAAGAAGGUUCAGUGGAGGGUCCCACAAGAGCUACCGUGUUACCGAGCCCUGGUGGGGAGAGAGAGACCAUCAAGUCAAGCCCAGACAGCCUUCACCCAGGCAGUCAAGACGAACUCCGCUCCAAUUCCGAUGGGGAUUCUUCAUCUGGUCUGGAAAUGGAAUACAUUAUUCUUCCUGGCACUGUAAAGGAGGCCGAGAGGGAAAGAGAACACAGACCUAGAGGACCAAGGAAGCCCAUGGAGACAUUCAGCAUGCUGUCUUAUGCUGUUUCAGUGCUAAAUGCUCAAACCACAGAGAAAACCAGGCAACUCCAAGUAAUACCACCGUUCCAAACAGAACGCGUAGCUCAACACAACACUGAGUCAUCCAUAUCUUCUGAGACGUUCAACAAAAGCACUCCUACUCAAGCUAAAACUGAAGCUUCCUGCCAGUCCGAAUCAAGGCAAGAAGUUCAAGAAGGGAACUUCGAGGACAAACAGAGUAGCGUGGCCAGAAGCAUGUCGCCCUCAAUGAGACAUCCAUCUGAUCACUUCCUAAAAACAAGAGAGGAGGUUUACGUCCAUUCCCAAAUCUCCAUGGAAGACUCGGAUUCAGACAGUGGGCGGUCACCGGCCGCCACUACUCCACCACCCCAUCCCAUGUCGUCAGGCAAUUUCCAGGGCUGGGGGGCUCCUUCACCAAGGCAUGACAGCCCUCAGUCAUCAUGUGACUCCCCGUCACUCGGUAACAGCUCCGCAUCCCGCCCCAGUUCUUCGGUUACCACUCCUGUGAGCGAGUCGGGAGGCCCAGGUACCAAAACUCUUGGAUUACCUUUCUCUGGAGAUUUAAUGGAGGAGAACGAUGAGGAAGAAGCGGUUACAGAGCAGCCAAAGCCGAGGCUAAGCUCCCAUGAUCUGUUGAGUUUCACAGAGGAACUUGUUGAAGGUUGUCAACUCCAGCCAACCAGUGGAAUGUUUCAAGAGGACAUGUUUGAUUAUUAUGGACAUACUGGUAGGACUGAUGGUAGUAGCUCACUUGGACAUCACAUUGGAGCUCACCAAAACUAUUCUCCACAUUUAGGGACUGAACAGGAGGAAGGUGGUGACCUCAGACGUGGUGCCUCCGACGUUUACGCAGAGUUUACAACGGACGCCCCCGCGCCGACAGAGCGUCCCGAGAGCUACUCUGGACCUAGUCAGGGCGAACACAAGCACCCUGAAAGGCAGGAUCACGAUCAGUUUGUGCCUGAGGGAUACGCCCACUUCUUGAUGUCACGUUCCCAUCACGAGGACGGAGCAGCAGCAGCAGCGAUGAUGACGAUGGGUAGGACCUCCAGUGAGGAAGUGGAGGACAGUGAGAACAAGGAAGACCCUCCGUCCUCUGCAGAUGUGUCGGGUGGCUCCAACCAGAGGAGGAAGCUGGCCGCUCCGCCAAUGAACGUGUCGCUGGAGCACAGCGAAGGCUCUCAGCUCUCGGAAGACGCCUUGGACACGGAAGGAGAGGACGACGCUCUGGACACGGGCGACGACCUGGAUGUCAACAUAGAGGAGCUGGACACGUCCGAUGAGGAAAUAAACGCACACGGGCACUCUGAGAGGUCGGACGUGGCAGCGGGAGCAGCGUACGGUGAGGAGGAUGACGGUGGACUGUGGCGGAGCGUGGUGAUUGGCGAGCAGGAACAUCGCAUUGACAUGAAGUGCAUUGAGGCCUACAAGAGAGUCAUUUCUCAUGGAGGUUAUUACGCCGAACAGAACGCCAUCAUCGUGUUUGCCGCCUGCUUCCUGCCAGACAGUGACUGUGACAACUACCACUAUGUCAUGGAGAACUUGUUUUUGUAUGUAAUAAGCACUUUGGAGCUCAUGGUAGCAGAAGACUACAUGAUCGUCUACCUGAACGGUGCCACACCUCGCAGGAGGAUGCCCGGCUUCACCUGGAUGAAGAAAUGCUACCAAAUGAUUGACCGCAGACUGAAGAAGAACUUGAAGAUGUUCAUCAUUGUUCAUCCUUCCUGGUUCAUAAGAACAUUGCUGGGCAUCACCAGACCCUUCAUCAGCUCAAAGUUCAGCAGUAAGAUCAAGUAUGUGAGUAGUCUGCAGGAACUGGGCGACAUCAUCCCCAUGGAGUACGUACACAUUCCACCCAGCAUCAUCAAGUAUGACCAGGAGAGGGCUACAAAUACAUUUGCAUGCAUGAGCUAAUAUAUGGCUGACAAUGCAUUGAAGGUUUUAGAGGACCUGCCACUAACAUUCACAGCCCGCAGGAAUGUGAUGCUGCAUUGGCUGGACACAGAUUUAAAGGACACGGCAGGAAAGUCCGACAGGAAGAGAAGUCUGGCCAUUUGACAAAUGGACCAACGGCUGCUUGCCGUCUUGUCUUGCCUCCUUGCCGUGACGUCGCUUUCCCGGACACGGAACACGAGCGUGCCUCUUAGCAUGAACGGACUACUGGCAGCAGUAAAAAAAAAUAAUAAUAAUAAUUAAAAAAAAUUGGUCCCACAUUUACACGCACAGUGUCAAAAGGGAAAGGUGCUCAUUGGAAUCCAUUUAUGAAUAUUUACCAAGCGGCUUUGUUGUUGACUAAUGCUGAUAAUUAUCAAUCUCACGUGCACUAUUAACAUGGAGUACACACACACAUACAGUAAAGGACUCUACUGUACACACAUGAGUGACAGAUACUGCUGCUGCUGCCAAUCAACACUUUAUCUUUCUAUCACUGUGAGGUCAUUAAGUUAGCAACAUAGCCUUUGAAUGUCUCUGCAGUCACUUGUGCAUGCUUUGUGAGUGUGUGUGUGUGAGAGAAAUAUUGGAGGAAAGUAUGCACUUUUGUUAUUCCAUUGACAUAAGUUGUCGAAUGAAUAUAAACAUGUCAGUUGUCAUGUAAGAAUGCAGUUGUUUUCAAUUCUUUUCUGGGAACAUA
RNA transcript from Nerophis lumbriciformis (worm pipefish), 6307 nucleotides. RefSeq lists it as uncharacterized. The record is from RefSeq and is a predicted model, not a curated record. NCBI's taxonomy places the organism in Eukaryota, Metazoa, Chordata, Actinopteri, Syngnathiformes, Syngnathidae.